AAUCUCAUCAUCAUAUAUAUAAAAUAAUAAAAUUUUAAAAAAUUAUUUCUAAACUGCAUACAACUAAAUAAAUUAUUUGUAGUUGCAGUAUUUUCUGCUACAUCCAAUCAAAUAAGAUGCAUGUAAUUGAAGUUGCUGCAUUUUUAAUUGCAUGCAUCUCCAGCUACACUGAAUUUAAAAUUACAUCUAACCAAACGGCCCCU
This 203-nucleotide long non-coding RNA is filed under the name Ananas comosus (pineapple). Its description in RNAcentral is "long non-coding RNA (ACOM_LNC043970)". Lineage: Eukaryota; Viridiplantae; Streptophyta; Magnoliopsida; Poales; Bromeliaceae. The record is from RNAcentral.